This 503-nucleotide ribosomal RNA is filed under the name Enterococcus faecium. RNAcentral describes it as "bacterial SSU rRNA". It matches the Rfam family "Bacterial small subunit ribosomal RNA", at positions 1029 to 1533 of the family's 1533-position model. Lineage: Bacteria; Bacillati; Bacillota; Bacilli; Lactobacillales; Enterococcaceae. The record is from RNAcentral.
AAGUGACAGGUGGUGCAUGGUUGUCGUCAGCUCGUGUCGUGAGAUGUUGGGUUAAGUCCCGCAACGAGCGCAACCCUUAUUGUUAGUUGCCAUCAUUCAGUUGGGCACUCUAGCAAGACUGCCGGUGACAAACCGGAGGAAGGUGGGGAUGACGUCAAAUCAUCAUGCCCCUUAUGACCUGGGCUACACACGUGCUACAAUGGGAAGUACAACGAGUUGCGAAGUCGCGAGGCUAAGCUAAUCUCUUAAAGCUUCUCUCAGUUCGGAUUGCAGGCUGCAACUCGCCUGCAUGAAGCCGGAAUCGCUAGUAAUCGCGGAUCAGCACGCCGCGGUGAAUACGUUCCCGGGCCUUGUACACACCGCCCGUCACACCACGAGAGUUUGUAACACCCGAAGUCGGUGAGGUAACCUUUUGGAGCCAGCCGCCUAAGGUGGGAUAGAUGAUUGGGGUGAAGUCGUAACAAGGUAGCCGUAUCGGAAGGUGCGGCUGGAUCACCUCCUUU